GCACAAGCAGUGGAGUAUGUGGUUUAAUUCGAAGCAACGCGAAGAACCUUACCAGGUCUUGACAUCCGAUGCAUAGCACAGAGAUGUGUGAAAUCCUUCGGGACAUCGAGACAGGUGGUGCAUGGUUGUCGUCAGCUCGUGUCGUGAGAUGUUGGGUUAAGUCCCGCAACGAGCGCAACCCUUAUUGCCAGUUACUACGUUAAGAGGACUCUGGCGAGACUGCCGUGAUAAA
Molecule: ribosomal RNA, 232 nt
Filed under: uncultured bacterium
Lineage: Bacteria
Description: partial 16S ribosomal RNA
Rfam family: Bacterial small subunit ribosomal RNA
Source: RNAcentral